Molecule: transfer RNA, 75 nt
Filed under: Puniceicoccaceae bacterium
Lineage: Bacteria; Pseudomonadati; Verrucomicrobiota; Opitutia; Puniceicoccales; Puniceicoccaceae
Description: tRNA-Asn
Rfam family: tRNA
About the family: Transfer RNA (tRNA) molecules are approximately 80 nucleotides in length. Their secondary structure includes four short double-helical elements and three loops (D, anti-codon, and T loops).
Source: RNAcentral
UGCCCUGUAGCUCAGCGGUAGAGCAGGUGACUGUUAAUCACUUGGUCGCUGGUUCGAUCCCAGCCGGGGCAGCCA